UGCGGAGGGGGCUAGCGUUGUUCGGAAUUACUGGGCGUAAAGCGCACGUAGGCGGACUGUUAAGUCGGGGGUGAAAUCCUGGGGCUCAACCUCAGAAUUGCCUCCGAUACUGGCAGUCUCGAGUGCGGGAGAGGUGAGUGGAAUUCCCAGUGUAGAGGUGAAAUUCGUAGAUAUUGGGAAGAACACCAGUGGCGAAGGCGGCUCACUGGCCCGAUACUGACGCUGAGGUGCGAAAGCGUGGGGAGCAAACAGG
Molecule: ribosomal RNA, 253 nt
Filed under: uncultured bacterium
Lineage: Bacteria
Description: partial 16S ribosomal RNA
Rfam family: Bacterial small subunit ribosomal RNA
Source: RNAcentral